AUUGAACGCUGGCGGCAGGCCUAACACAUGCAAGUCGAGCGGAUGAAGGGAGCUUGCUCCUGGAUCCAGCGGCGGACGGGUGAGUAAUGCCUAGGAAUCUGCCUGGUAGUGAGGGAUAACGUCCGGAAACGGGCGCUAAUACCGCAUACGUCCUGAGGGAGAAAGUGGGGGAUCUUCGGACCUCACGCUAUCAGAUGAGCCUAGGUCGGAUUAGCUAGUUGGUGGGGUAAAGGCCUACCAAGGCGACGAUCCGUAACUGGUCUGAGAGGAUGAUCAGUCACACUGGAACUGAGACACGGUCCAGACUCCUACGGGAGGCAGCAGUGGGGAAUAUUGGACAAUGGGCGAAAGCCUGAUCCAGCCAUGCCGCGUGUGUGAAGAAGGUCUUCGGAUUGUAAAGCACUUUAAGUUGGGAGGAAGGGCAGUAAGUUAAUACCUUGCUGUUUUGACGUUACCAACAGAAUAAGCACCGGCUAACUUCGUG
Molecule: ribosomal RNA, 484 nt
Filed under: uncultured bacterium
Lineage: Bacteria
Description: partial 16S ribosomal RNA
Rfam family: Bacterial small subunit ribosomal RNA
Source: RNAcentral